Molecule: ribosomal RNA, 655 nt
Filed under: Coxiella endosymbiont of Rhipicephalus sanguineus
Lineage: Bacteria; Pseudomonadati; Pseudomonadota; Gammaproteobacteria; Legionellales; Coxiellaceae
Also listed under: 2 other names
Description: bacterial SSU rRNA
Rfam family: Bacterial small subunit ribosomal RNA
Source: RNAcentral
GAUUAGCUAGUUGGUAGGGUAAUGGCCUACCAAGGCGACGAUCCGUAGCUGGUCUGAGAGGACGAUCAGCCACACUGGGACUGAGACACGGCCCAGACUCCUACGGGAGGCAGCAGUGGGGAAUAUUGGACAAUGGGGGGAACCCUGAUCCAGCAAUGCCGCGUGUGUGAAGAAGGCCUUCGGGUUGUAAAGCACUUUCAGUGGGGAAGAAAUUCUCAAGUCUAAUACCCUUGAGCGUUGACGUUACCCACAGAAGAAGCACUGGCUAACUCUGUGCCAGCAGCCGCGGUAAUACAGAGAGUGCAAGCGUUAAUCGGAAUCACUGGGCGUAAAGCGCGCGUAGGUGGAUAUUUAAGUCGGAUGUGAAAGCCCUAGGCUUAACCUGGGAAUUACAUCCGAUACUAGGUAUCUCGAGUAUGAUAGAGGGAAGUGGAAUUUCCGGUGUAGCGGUGAAAUGCGUAGAUAUCGGAAAGAACAUCAGUGGCGAAGGCGGCUUCCUGGAGCAAUACUGACACUGAGGCGCGAAAGCGUGGGGAGCAAACAGGAUUAGAGACCCUGGUAGUCCACGCUGUCAACGAUGAGAACUAGCUGUUGGAAAGUUUACUUUCUAGUAGCAAAGGCUAACGCGUUAAGUUCUCCGCCUGGGGAGUACGGC